Molecule: ribosomal RNA, 467 nt
Filed under: uncultured bacterium
Lineage: Bacteria
Description: partial 16S ribosomal RNA
Rfam family: Bacterial small subunit ribosomal RNA
Source: RNAcentral
GACGAACGCUGGCGGCGUGCUUAACACAUGCAAGUCGAACGGAAAGGCCCUGCUUUUGUGGGGUGCUCGAGUGGCGAACGGGUGAGUAACACGUGAGUAACCUGCCCUUGACUUUGGGAUAACUUCAGGAAACUGGGGCUAAUACCGGAUAGGAGCUCCUGCUGCAUGGUGGGGGUUGGAAAGUUUCGGCGGUUGGGGAUGGACUCGCGGCUUAUCAGCUUGUUGGUGGGGUAGUGGCUUACCAAGGCUUUGACGGGUAGCCGGCCUGAGAGGGUGACCGGCCACAUGGGGACGGAGAUACGGCCCAGACUCCUACGGGAGGCAGCAGUGGGGAAUAUUGCACAAUGGGCGGAAGCCUGAUGCAGCAACGCCGCGUGCGGGAUGACGGCCUUCGGGUGGUAAACCGCUUUCGCCUGUGACGAAGCGUGAGUGACGGUAAUGGGUAAAGAAGCACCGGCAAACUACGU